UGAGGAAUAUUGGGCAAUGGACGAAAGUCUGACCCAGCAACGCCGCGUGGAGGAUGAAUGCCGUAAGGUUGUAAACUCCUUUUGAGAGGGACGAACAUCUAUAUUUCGUAAGGAAUAUAGCUUGACUGUACCUUUAGAAGAAGCCCCGGCUAACUACGUGCCAGCAGCCGCGGUAAUACGUAGGGGGCAAGCGUUGUCCGGAUUUACUGGGUGUAAAGGGCGCGUAGGCGGAUUUGUAAGUCAGAGGUGAAAGCCCGCAGCUUAACUGCGGAACUGCCUUUGAUACUGCUUAUCUUGAGUUCGGAAGAGAGAAGCGGAAUUCCAGGUGUAGUAGUGAAAUACGUAGAUAUCUGGAAGAACACCAGUGGCGAAGGCGGCUUCUUGGUCCGUAACUGACGCUGAGGCGCGAAAGCGUGGGGAGCAAACAGG
Molecule: ribosomal RNA, 429 nt
Filed under: uncultured Ignavibacteriales bacterium
Lineage: Bacteria; Pseudomonadati; Ignavibacteriota; Ignavibacteria; Ignavibacteriales
Description: bacterial SSU rRNA
Rfam family: Bacterial small subunit ribosomal RNA
Source: RNAcentral